GAUGAACGCUAGCGGCAGGCCUAAUACAUGCAAGUCGGACGGGAUUGGAGAGCUUGCUUUCCAUGAGAGUGGCGCACGGGUGCGUAACACGUAUGUAACCUACCUUGUUCAGGGGGCUAGCCUCUCGAAAGAGAGAUUAAGACCGCAUAACAUUGCGAUGUGGCAUCACAUUGUAAUCAAAUAUUUAUAGGAACAAGAUGGGCAUGCGGGACAUUAGCUAGUUGGUAAGGUAACGGCUUACCAAGGCUACGAUGUUUAGGGGAUCUGAGAGGAUGACCCCCCACACUGGUACUGAGACACGGACCAGACUCCUACGGGAGGCAGCAGUAAGGAAUAUUGGUCAAUGGGCGGAAGCCUGAACCAGCCAUGCCGCGUGCAGGAAGACGGCCCUAUGGGUUGUAAACUGCUUUUGCAGGGGAAUAAACCUUGGUACGUGUACCAAGCUGAAUGUACUCUGAGAAUAAGGAUCGGCUAACUCCGUGCCAGCCGCCGCAGUAA
This 498-nucleotide ribosomal RNA is filed under the name uncultured bacterium. Its description in RNAcentral is "partial 16S ribosomal RNA". It matches the Rfam family "Bacterial small subunit ribosomal RNA", at positions 28 to 523 of the family's 1533-position model. The record is from RNAcentral.